GUCCCCUUCGUCUAGAGGCCUAGGACACCGCCCUUUCACGGCGGCAGCACCGGUUCGAAUCCGGUAGGGGACG
RNAcentral lists this transfer RNA (73 nucleotides) under Deltaproteobacteria bacterium. RNAcentral's name for it is "tRNA-Glu". It matches the Rfam family "tRNA". Rfam says of the family: Transfer RNA (tRNA) molecules are approximately 80 nucleotides in length. Their secondary structure includes four short double-helical elements and three loops (D, anti-codon, and T loops). The record is from RNAcentral. Lineage: Bacteria; Pseudomonadati; Myxococcota; Myxococcia.